GCCUCCUUAGCUCAGUUGGUAGAGCAUCAGUCUCAUAUGGCAAAGAAAUGUGUGCGCUGAGUGUCAUCAGUUCGAUCCUGAUAGGGGGCA
Molecule: non-coding RNA, 90 nt
Organism: Terfezia boudieri ATCC MYA-4762
Lineage: Eukaryota; Fungi; Ascomycota; Pezizomycetes; Pezizales; Pezizaceae
Source: the annotation of a GenBank genome assembly